UCACUUUCCAAUAUAGAAUUAUUAAAAUAAAAUAAAAAGGGUAAAAACCGGUUCCUGCUCGGAGCAGGAUAGUACACACGCACACAAUUCACAGCACUGAAAGAAAGUCUCCGCAGCUCGUGGAAUUUGGAUGGCUUCUUCUUUGUCGUCGUCGUCGUCAUCAUCUUUAAUCCAAGGAGGCUCACUUCCUUCAUUCUCUGCAAUUCGCUCACGCCAUUCAUCUUCGGCACAUUCUUUUCUAUGUUUGACCAAGUUACCGGAUAAUGGCCGGAGGAGCUCAGGCUACCGUCGAAUGGCCUGCACCGCUAUGGUACAACAGCAGGCUAUACAUGGGGCUUCAGCUAUUUAUGCUAAGGAAAUGGAGAGACUCUCUGCUAAAGAAUCUCUGCUUCUCGCUUUCAAAGAUUCUGGCGGUUUUGAAGCUUUGGUCACUGGAAAGACAACAGAUAUGCAGCGGAUUGAUGUUAACGAAAGGAUAAAUGGUCUUGAGCGGCUCAAUCCAACUCCUCGACCAACUACGUCACCGUUUUUGGAAGGUAGAUGGAACUUUGAGUGGUUUGGAGCUGGAAUCCCUGGUUUAUUUGCUGCCAGAUUUAUAUUCGAGAGAUUUCCUAAAAAUUUCGCUUAUUUGUCUAAAAUGGACAUGGUGAUUAAGGAUGGAAAUGCAAAGGUUACAGCAAAUAUGAAACUAUUAUACUCGAUAGAAAGCAAAUUCAUUCUGCUCUCCAAGUUAACUGUGGAGGGACCUCUUAGAAUGAAAGAGGAAUAUGUUGAAGGGAUUCUUGAGACACCUACCAUCAUUGAAGAAACAGUACCAGAACAGCUAAAAGGUGCAUUUGGUCAGGCUGUCCAAACAGUGCAACAACUUCCUGUUCCUAUUAGGGAUUCCUUUUCUAGCGGGCUGAAAAUUCCUCUAACCAGUACUUUCCAGAGACUCUUCAUGAUUUCGUAUCUUGAUGAUGAAAUACUUAUAGUAAGGGAUGCUGCUGGAGCACCUGAAGUUCUUACAAGGCUGGAUGCACCAGCCUCUCCAAUGGCAGAACCAACUGCAGAGUAUGAGAGCUAGAGAUGUGAAAACUGACUGUUUAUUGUUUUUUUCUUAACCUUCUAAUACAAUGUAGACUCAACAUGUUCUCAAGGUAAUUGCUGAGAUUAAGUUGUUGGUUUCAAUACAAAAUUAGUGGGUGGAUUUGUUUGAGGGUC
Populus euphratica (Euphrates poplar) is the source of this 1203-nucleotide RNA transcript. It is a transcript of the gene named probable plastid-lipid-associated protein 13, chloroplastic, with no coding region annotated. The transcript is spliced from 8 exons. The record is from RefSeq and is a predicted model, not a curated record. Lineage: Eukaryota; Viridiplantae; Streptophyta; Magnoliopsida; Malpighiales; Salicaceae.